GUCUGUUUAGUCUAAUGUGAAAGCCCACGGCUUAACCGUGGAACGGCAUUGGAAACUGACAGACUUGAAUGUAGAAGAGGAAAAUGGAAUUCCAAGUGUAGCGGUGGAAUGCGUAGAUAUUUGGAGGAACACCAGUGGCGAAGGCGAUUUUCUGGUCUAACAUUGACGCUGAGGCUCGAAAGCGUGGGGAGCGAACAGGAUUAGAUACCCUGGUAGUCCACGCCGUAAACGAUGAGUGCUAAGUGUUGGGGGCUUUCCGGCCCUCGGUGCUGGAGCUAACGUAUUAAGCACUCCGCCUGGGGAUUACGACCGCAAGGUUGAAACUCAAAAGAAUUGACGGGGACCCGCACAAGCGGUGGAGCAUGUGGUUUAAUUCGAAGCAACGCGAAGAACCUUACCAGCUCUUGACAUCUUCUGACAACUCUAGAGAUAGAGCGUUCCCUUCGGGACAGAAUGACAGGUGGUGCAUGGUUGUCGUCAGCUCGUGUCGUGAGAUGUUGGGUUAAGUCCCGUAACGAGCGCAACCCUUGUUGUUAGUUGCCAGCAUUAAGUUGGGCACUUUAACGAGACUGCCGGUGAUAAACCGGAGGAAGGCGGGGAUGACGUCAAAUCAUCAUGCCCCUUAUGAGCUGGGCUACACACGUGCUACAAUGGAUGGUACAACGAGCAGCGAUCCCGCAAGGGCUAGCUAAUCUUUCAAAGCCAUUCUCAGUUCGGAUUGCACUCUGCAACUCGAGUGCAUGAAGUCGGAAUCGCUAGUAAUCGCGAAUCAGAAUGUCGCGGUGAAUCCGUUCCCGGGUCUUGUACACACCGCCCGUCACACCACGAGAGUUUGAAACACCCGAAGUCGGCCGGCCAACCCUAUGGGAGGCAGCCGUCGAAGGUGGGUUGAAUGAUUGGGGUGAAGUCGUAACAAGGUAGCCGUAUCGGAAGGUGCGGCUGGAUCACCUCCUUUCUAAGGA
Molecule: ribosomal RNA, 962 nt
Filed under: Dolosigranulum pigrum
Lineage: Bacteria; Bacillati; Bacillota; Bacilli; Lactobacillales; Carnobacteriaceae
Description: bacterial SSU rRNA
Rfam family: Bacterial small subunit ribosomal RNA
Source: RNAcentral